Molecule: long non-coding RNA, 883 nt
Organism: Stegostoma tigrinum
Lineage: Eukaryota; Metazoa; Chordata; Chondrichthyes; Orectolobiformes; Stegostomatidae
Exons: 3
Source: RefSeq, a predicted model, not a curated record
UGCUAUUGGUCAUUCAACGUCGUUCAGCCACGGAGCAUGCGUACUGGGUGGGAUAUCCGGAAUGAAACGGUCCUCCAUGAGAGCCACAAGCGGAUGUGAACUUUGGUGGCUUGGCCAGAAUUUAUUGCCCAUCUGUGAUUGCCCAGAAGGCUAUCAAGUGUCAACUGCAUUGCUGUAUGGCUGGAGUCACACACAGACCAAACCAGGGAAUUGGAAAGGGAGCAUUUACUGACAGGCUGCUCAACUCAAACACUGGAUCAAGAACUGCCGGGAACACUUAAUUCUCAGGAGCUUUGAAUAUGGAAGGAACAAGUGUCAUUCACAGUGAAGAGAAACCAUAUACGUGGCCUGUGUGGACAAGCCUUCAGUCAAUUGUCUGGCCUGUCAGUACGUAAAUGCAGUCAAAACAGGGUGACAACCAUAACAUCAAACAGCUCUUGCUUUGUAAUAUCAUAGUGAAGGAUCUCAGUUUGAGUUAAGCAAGGGCCACUCAUCUCCUCUCCUCCCUACAUUCUUAGUGCAAACAUGGACCAAACAGCUGAAUUCCAAAUGUGAGAGUGACUAUCCACUAUCUUAAGGCUCCAUUUGACAGAGCAUUGUAUUAAGGAAUCAUGACAAAGCUAAGUUCAAUAGGAACCAGAGAAUAUUAUUCUUCCUUUGAUAGCUGGUUUUUGAAAAGAUUGCAUCUUCAGACCUCAGUAAAUCGAAACAAGGUGAAUUUAUUCAAACUUGUACCACAUACUUGUGGAAGAGGUCUGUAAGUUUAGUUCGGAGACACUACACCUUUUACAGCUCAAAACAGCAUAUGAAGGCAUUUUCAUGUAAAAAUGGUUGCAUAUGACAUUGAUAUAAAAUAAAUUAUUUCACUUACUUACUAUAAAAA